GGAGAGGUACCGAAGUGGUCAUAACGGGGCGGUCUUGAAAACCGUUGGGGCGUCAAGCCCACGUGGGUUCGAAUCCCACCCUCUCCG
RNAcentral lists this transfer RNA (87 nucleotides) under Candidatus Reconcilbacillus cellulovorans. RNAcentral describes it as "Paenibacillaceae bacterium JTherm tRNA-Ser". It matches the Rfam family "tRNA". Rfam says of the family: Transfer RNA (tRNA) molecules are approximately 80 nucleotides in length. Their secondary structure includes four short double-helical elements and three loops (D, anti-codon, and T loops). Lineage: Bacteria; Bacillati; Bacillota; Bacilli; Caryophanales; Paenibacillaceae. The record is from RNAcentral.